This 266-nucleotide long non-coding RNA is filed under the name Mytilus galloprovincialis (Mediterranean mussel). The record is from RNAcentral. Lineage: Eukaryota; Metazoa; Mollusca; Bivalvia; Mytilida; Mytilidae.
GGCUUUUACUUUUAUAAUUGACAGACAUUUCUAUUGGAGUGGAGAUAAAUCAGAAAAGCGCUGCGAACAAUUCUGACCGAAUUUUUUUCAUUUUUUUUUAUAGAAAUUUGGAUAGGCGUAUAUCAUAGAGAUAUCGAACUCCCAUAAAAGUGUCUUCACUUUCUGCAUUUUUAUAUUGAUAUUGAGAUCAGCUUGAUUGUAUUUUGCAUUAGAAUUAUAACUGUUAUAUUCCUAUUGCAAACAAUAUUAUGUUAUUAAAGUUUUUG